This is a long non-coding RNA of Rhagoletis zephyria (snowberry fruit fly), 426 nucleotides long. RefSeq lists it as uncharacterized. The record is from RefSeq and is a predicted model, not a curated record. NCBI's taxonomy places the organism in Eukaryota, Metazoa, Arthropoda, Insecta, Diptera, Tephritidae.
GUUAUAAAAAUUGAACGAGUUUAAUAAAACUUCUUUUUAUAAGUAGAACGUAUUUUCGGCUUUAUACAUUUUAUUUUCGGCUGUGUCUGGCUCUGUUAUCGAAUCGCUAUUAUAUACCACCUGAAUACUGCAGCCAAAGCACUGAAUGCUUAAUCAACUCGAGCAAAGAAAUCAAGGCGUUGGGUCUACUUAGGUCGACGAUCUGCUAGAUGUUGAUGCGCUUGAUAUGGAUGAGGGAAGUGUUCCCCUCUCGAUCCUUAUGGCAUGGUGAUGAACACGACGGUGAUGGCGACAGCUGGGGAGGAGAAGGAGAAAACGGCGAGAUAUUUGUCGGGGAUGAUGACAUCGAAUCUGAAAAUGAGUACUUUGAAUUUAUGUAUAUAGAUUAGUUUUUAAUAAUAAAAAUGAUUUUGAAUAUGCCUACAA